CGCAGCGUCGGCUUCUGCCGAGCUUGACGUUCUCCUCCGCCCUGGUUGCUAUUGGCCGUCAGCUGGUGCUGUGGCCUGCUUGGUCUCCGGCACCGACCCCUGCCUUUUCACUUCCUGGGCGCUCAGGCCCUCUCACCCCUUCCCUGUGGAGCGGGGCAGGCCUUGGGAGCCGAGUCUAGACCUGGGAGAGGGACGCAGCCUCUGGCACUGUUUGUGGGUCUUGUCCCAUCUGUGCUGCUUGGGGGGUGUGGCCUUGGCCAAGUCAUUUCUUUAAAUCCUCUUUGCUACCAUCUGACGAGUUAGGGAAGGACUACAUGAAAAUGUGUUCUAGAUCCGGCGGUGUGCUUGUUCCAUGUUAAACAGCUGAUUCUUUGCGGGGAAGGAAGGGUGUGUAUAUAGUUAAUUUUGUCAUGAAUUUGACUCAAAUAAAGCAUGUGUAGAUUUCCAAGGAAUAAUAAAAGUAUACGGUAGCCAGUUCUGUGUGACUGAUUGCCAAAUGCAUGCUUCCACUGGUUUUUGUCAUAGUGUGUGUGUCACGUUGAGGAUAGAAUGAAUCCUAGAUGGGGCACAUACUAAGAAUCAAUCCAGCCACUAGACCUCGUUCCCAGCCUUCCCAAACUGGUUACACGUGACCAAGGAGUAUAAUUUUCCUCUAUUGAUGCAAAAGGACAGCGAAAAACCGAAGACAAACUUGAUCAAAUUGUCAAUAGUGGUGACAACUUUGCUGAAUCAGAACUGGUUUCAAUGACUUUUAUUUCCCAAUGUAACACCUACAGAUGUUUAGGAGGGGCUGGAGAGAUGGCUCAGCAGUUAAGAACACUGACUGUUCUUCCAGAGGUCCUGAGUUCAAUUCCCAGAAACCACAUGGUAGCUCACAGCCACCUUGAAUGAGAACUGGUGCCCUCUGCUGGCAUGCAGGCAGAAGACUGUAUGCAUAAUAAUAAAUAAAUAAAUAAACUGUUUUAAAAAAAUCUGCCUUUCCUACUAAAAUGUAAAUUCUAGAAGGCUGUGUCUGACUGUCUGAUGUCAGAGACUCUGCCUGACAUAUAGAAAUACAGAAUUGUUGUGCAACCUUAAGCCUCAUAAAAGAUCCCUGAUUCAAAUUCACCUCUAGCUCUGUACAACAGAAUUAACAGCCACUUUUGUAAAUGAAGAAACAAACUGACAUGCAGUGAAUUAUUCAGCUAUGGUCAAUCCAUUCAAAAAGAUGCAGUGGAAUUUCAGAUAUACACUGAGCUGAAAUCGGGAAUUUAGUUGAAGAGAGGGAGGAAUGAAGAACGAAGGGGUCUGUACCAGGUUGGAGAAACCCACAGGAACAGUUGGCCUGAACAAGGGAGAGCACAUCGACCCCAGAUGCUGUCGGGGAGACCAGUACAAGACCUAUCCAGACCCCUGAACAUGGAUGUCAAUAAGGAGGCCUCUGCACUCCAGGGAGCCUCUGGUGGUGGAUUAGUAUUUUACCCUGGUGCAAGAAGGGAUUUUGAGAGUCCAUCCCACGUGAAGGGUUACACUCUGGCCCUGGACACAUGGGGAAGGGCCCAGGACCAGCACAGGAAGAUUUGGU
This 1564-nucleotide long non-coding RNA is filed under the name Cricetulus griseus (Chinese hamster). Its description in RNAcentral is "lncRNA (ENSCGRG00015040745.1)". The record is from RNAcentral. Lineage: Eukaryota; Metazoa; Chordata; Mammalia; Rodentia; Cricetidae.